Long non-coding RNA from Bos taurus (domestic cattle), 1021 nucleotides. NCBI's taxonomy places the organism in Eukaryota, Metazoa, Chordata, Mammalia, Artiodactyla, Bovidae. The record is from Ensembl.
AAUCCAGGGAUAGGUGGAGUCCCUCUAAAGCCCUAAGGGUGGAGGGGGAAGGUAAAGGAGGUCCCAGAGUGGGGAGGCAUUUGGGGCCAGUCAACACCAAGGUUCCCCAUUUCUAGGGCUAGAUUCUGGGUCCUGAAUGACUCCUCCAUGGGCAGCCUGAGGACCUCCACUGUUCCCAAGUCCUACCUGGGUAGAUGACAUCCACCAAUCCAGCUCUGGCCAGGGACCCCGAGUUCCAGCCCUGGUCAGGGAACUAGAUCCCACAUGAUGCAACUAAGAGUUUGAAUGCCACAACUAAAGAUCCUGCGUGCCACAACAAAGAUCAAAGAUCCUGCAGGCUGCAACUGAGACCCAGCGCAGCCAAAUAAAUAAAUAAAAAUGAAUACAUUAAUAAAUAAAGCAGGGUGGAUGAGCAAAAAUUCUGGUUUCCAGAACUUCCCUGCUGGUUCAGUGGUUAAGAUUCCACUUUAGAGGGCAUGGGUUCAAUCCCUGGUAAGGGAACUACCACAUGACACGUGGUGUGGCCAAAAAAAAAAAAAUCUGGUGUCUAGGACAGAAGGGAGAGUAUGAAACCUAAAACGAAGCCUGAGUCCAGGGCUGGUGGAGAGAAGACAUAGGCUCAGGGCAGAAGGCUGGGGUGGGUACUCACUUUGACCUCAGCUCCUUGUGGGCAGUGUGACCCCUGGGCCUGGGCCAGAACUGCAGAUGGGCAGCAUAGCCAGACUGCAGGUGGAGAGCCAUGUGGACUCCUCCUCAAUCCCAGUCAUGCUCACAGAACCAGGGACUCCUCUGAGAUUUGAGGGAGCUAGCCCCUCCCCUACUACACAGGCACAUACCUCUUUUUCAGCAGAUGUCUGGGGGUCCCAGAAGCUCCACUUACUACUGCAGGACAAGAAAGGGCCACCCUAGAACUCAAAGGCCUGAUUAGCACCCUUGAGCCACACUUACCUUCCAGCCUCAGUGUGCUUAUCCAGAAAAGGGAGAUACUGACCCAGUGCUUAGUUUGGGGUGCUGCCAGGAC